GAUGAACGCUGGCGGCGUGCCUAAUACAUGCAAGUCGAGCGAACGGACGAGAAGCUUGCUUCUCUGAUGUUAGCGGCGGACGGGUGAGUAACACGUGGAUAACCUACCUAUAAGACUGGGAUAACUUCGGGAAACCGGAGCUAAUACCGGAUGAUAUUUUGAACCGCAUGGUUCAAAAGUGAAAGACGGUCUUGCUGUCACUUAUAGAUGGAUCCGCGCUGCAUUAGCUAGUUGGUAAGGUAACGGCUUACCAAGGCAACGAUGCAUAGCCGACCUGAGAGGGGGAUCGGCCACACUGGAACUGAGACACGGUCCAGACGCAUACGGGAGGCAGCAGUAGGGAAUCUUCCGCAAUGGGCGAAAGCCUGACGGAGCAACGCCGCGUGAAUGAUGAAGGUAUUAGGAUCGUAAAACUCUGUUAUUAGGGAAGAACAUAUGUGCAAGUAACUGUGCACAUCUUGAAGGUACCUAAUCAGAAAGCCACGGCUAACUACGUG
RNAcentral lists this ribosomal RNA (497 nucleotides) under uncultured bacterium. RNAcentral's name for it is "partial 16S ribosomal RNA". It matches the Rfam family "Bacterial small subunit ribosomal RNA", at positions 28 to 507 of the family's 1533-position model. The record is from RNAcentral.